This 470-nucleotide ribosomal RNA is filed under the name uncultured bacterium. RNAcentral describes it as "bacterial SSU rRNA". It matches the Rfam family "Bacterial small subunit ribosomal RNA", at positions 30 to 490 of the family's 1533-position model. The record is from RNAcentral.
AUUGAACGCUGGCGGCAGGCCUAACACAUGCAAGUCGAGCGGAUGAGUGGAGCUUGCUCCAUGAUUCAGCGGCGGACGGGUGAGUAAUGCCUAGGAAUCUGCCUGGUAGUGGGGGACAACGUUUCGAAAGGAACGCUAAUACCGCAUACGUCCUACGGGAGAAAGCAGGGGGACCUUCGGGCCUUGCGCUAUCAGAUGAGCCUAGGUCGGAUUAGCUAGUAGGUGAGGUAAUGGCUCACCUAGGCGAUGAUCCGUAACUGGUCUGAGAGGAUGAUCAGUCACACUGGAACUGAGACACGGUCCAGACUCCUACGGGAGGCGGCAGUGGGGAAUAUUGGACAAUGGGCGAAAGCCUGAUCCAGCCAUGCCGCGUGUGUGAAGAAGGUCUUCGGAUUGUAAAGCACUUUAAAGUUGGGUAGGAAGGGCGAGUAAGUUAAUACCUUGCUGUUUUGACGUUACAACAGAAUAAG